Molecule: ribosomal RNA, 301 nt
Filed under: uncultured bacterium
Lineage: Bacteria
Description: partial 16S ribosomal RNA
Rfam family: Bacterial small subunit ribosomal RNA
Source: RNAcentral
CAGCCGCCACGGUAAUACAGAGGGUGCAAGCGUUAAUCGGAAUUACUGGGCGUAAAGCGCGCGUAGGUGGUUAGUUAAGUUGGAUGUGAAAUCCCCGGGCUCAACCUGGGAACUGCAUUCAAAACUGACUGACUAGAGUAUGGUAGAGGGUGGUGGAAUUUCCUGUGUAGCGGUGAAAUGCGUAGAUAUAGGAAGGAACACCAGUGGCGAAGGCGACCACCUGGACUGAUACUGACACUGAGGUGCGAAAGCGUGGGGAGCAAACAGGAUUAGAUACCCGCGUAGUCCCUGUCUCUUAUAC